GAUGAACGCUGGCGGCGUGCCUAAUACAUGCAAGUCGAGCGAACAGACGAGGAGCUUGCUCCUUUGACGUUAGCGGCGGACGGGUGAGUAACACGUGGAUAACCUACCUAUAAGACUGGGAUAACUUCGGGAAACCGGAGCUAAUACCGGAUAACAUGUUGAACCGCAUGGUUCAACAGUGAAAGACGGUCUUGCUGUCACUUAUAGAUGGAUCCGCGCCGCAUUAGCUAGUUGGUAAGGUAACGGCUUACCAAGGCAACGAUGCGUAGCCGACCUGAGAGGGUGAUCGGCCACACUGGAACUGAGACACGGUCCAGACUCCUACGGGAGGCAGCAGUAGGGAAUCUUCCGCAAUGGGCGAAAGCCUGACGGAGCAACGCCGCGUGAGUGAAGAAGGUCUUCGGAUCGUAAAACUCUGUUAUUAGGGAAGAACAAGUGUGUAAGUAACUAUGCACGUCUUGACGGUACCUAAUCAGAAAGCCACGGCUAACUACGUG
Molecule: ribosomal RNA, 497 nt
Filed under: uncultured bacterium
Lineage: Bacteria
Description: partial 16S ribosomal RNA
Rfam family: Bacterial small subunit ribosomal RNA
Source: RNAcentral